GGACAGAAAGACCCUAUGAAGCUUUACUGUAGUUUGGAAUUGGGUUCGGGCUCUUCUUGCGCAGCCUAGGUGGGAGGCUAUGAAGAUAAACUUUUGGGUUUAUCGGAGCCAACAGUGAGAGACCACUCUAGAGGAGCUAGAAUUCUAAUGGCGUUCCUUGAAGCAGGACGCUUGACAGUUUCAGAUGGGCAGUUUGACUGGGGCGGUCACCUCCUAAAAGGUAACGGAGGUGUGCAAAGGUUCCCUCAGGCUGGACGGAAAUCAGCCGUAGAGUGUAAAGGCAGAAGGGAGCUUGACUGCAAGACCUACAAGUCGAGCAGGGGCGAAAGCCGGCCUUAGUGAUCCGACGGUUCCGAGUGGAAGGGCCGUCGCUAAACGGAUAAAAGUUACUCUAGGGAUAACAGGCUGA
This 409-nucleotide ribosomal RNA is filed under the name uncultured organism. RNAcentral's name for it is "bacterial LSU rRNA". It matches the Rfam family "Bacterial large subunit ribosomal RNA", at positions 2078 to 2485 of the family's 2925-position model. The record is from RNAcentral.